GUCCGUCGGUUGGAUUGCUGGUGAGUCUGCUGUGGCUUGAGUUGUUGUUGGUGGUGUGGCUUUGACUGUUGCUGGUGUGACUUCUGCUGUUGCUGCUGCUUGGAUGGCUUGGACUGCUCCUCCACUUGACCUUUGAUGGCAUUCAGCAACCUAAGGGCACCCAUGCGAGGGCCCUCAGCAUGCUCCUCCUCAUCACUGCUGUUGUCAUCAGGGUUGGUUGGACUCUUCUGCACAGUAGCCUGUAGUGCAUUUAGAGCUUGUUUUUGGGGACAGUUCUUCACCAUGUGUGGCCCUCCACAC
RNAcentral lists this long non-coding RNA (300 nucleotides) under Elaeis guineensis (African oil palm). RNAcentral describes it as "long non-coding RNA (EGUI_LNC019086)". The record is from RNAcentral. Lineage: Eukaryota; Viridiplantae; Streptophyta; Magnoliopsida; Arecales; Arecaceae.